Molecule: ribosomal RNA, 306 nt
Filed under: Triticum aestivum (bread wheat)
Lineage: Eukaryota; Viridiplantae; Streptophyta; Magnoliopsida; Poales; Poaceae
Description: partial small subunit ribosomal RNA
Source: RNAcentral
AUGGGACAAAGUCAGUUUUUAUCUGACAAAGAUAUUGCAGAGUGCUUUAUUUCUAAUACAGCUUCAGCGCACACGGAGAUUGGGCGAAACAGCACGCCCCCCCUCUGCUGGGCAUGCCUCUCCGCAGCCUCGGGCCUCACCUCCAGACUGCUGGUGACGGCAAAGGAAAAAACGAGGAGCGUGAUGAGCAUUACGCCGUCAUGGCGAAGAGGUACAAAGCAAGGAGCUGGCGGCGGCUCCAUCAUCGCCGACGAAGCCUGCCAGGAGGAUGAGACUGCCCAGGAUACACGGGCCACGCGCGCGUAA